Molecule: ribosomal RNA, 775 nt
Filed under: uncultured Neocallimastigales
Lineage: Eukaryota; Fungi; Neocallimastigomycota; Neocallimastigomycetes; Neocallimastigales
Description: partial large subunit ribosomal RNA
Rfam family: Eukaryotic large subunit ribosomal RNA
Source: RNAcentral
UUAUGUGAUCGUCUCUCGCAUAUCAAUAAGCGGAGGAAAAGAAACUAACAAGGAUUCCCCUAGUAACGGCGAGUGAAGCGGGAGGAGCUCAAAUUUGAAAUCUUAAAGGGUUUCCCUUUACGAAUUGUAGUUUAAAGAAGUGGUUUCUGUUGAGGUUUUGGUAAAAGUUCUUUGGAAUAGGACAUCAUAGAGGGUGAGAAUCCCGUAUUUGACCUUUACUUUCAACUUUGUGAUACACUUUCAAAGAGUCGGAUUGUUUGGGAAUGCAGUCCAAAAUGGGUGGUAAAUUUCAUCUAAAGCUAAAUAUUGGCGAGAGACCGAUAGCGAACAAGUACCGUGAGGGAAAGAUGAAAAGAACUUUGAAAAGAGAGUUAAACAGUACGUGAAAUUGUCAAAAGGGAAGCGUUUGACACCAGUGUUGUUUUUCUGAAAAUCAAUUAAAGAACUGCUUAUGCUAAGCUGUUUAGACUUUAUCAGCUAACUGUUUAGUUUUGAGCUUUUCUUUAAUGCACUUUUCAGUUAACAAGUCAACAUCAAUUUCUUUUGCUGUAAAAAAGCUUGAGGAAGGUGGCUUGAGAUUCGUCUUAAGUGUUUAUAGCCUCUUGCCUAUGCAGUCGGAGAGAUUGAGGUCUGCAGCGUAGAUCCUUCGGGGCUAAAUGCAUUUGUGCUAAGUUAUAGCAUUUUAUAGACAACUUGUUGACUAUGAUUUGUCUUGUAGCUUACUCGCUCAUGUUAUUUUACCUACGCUUAGGAUGUUGAUCUCUCACAGUCGAGC